CAAGUUCCAGCCAUCUGAAGCAGCCAUCCUCAGGGAAAGGCCUAGAAGAAGUCUCUAGGGAAGUGCCGCCCACCCUCCGCCCCUCCCUGUGCACAGGGGCUGAGCUGGUAGCAGAUGGGCCUCCGGGGGCUCGGGAUCUUGGUUAAAGGCCUGGGAUGACCACCCUCCUACUCCAUCUCUAUGACAUCUAGAAGCUUCCAAGACCUGGCAAAAGGCCACCCCUCCACAAUGCUUCCCCGGAUACUGCCUGCUGGGAGCCCCUUCCUCCCCAGAAACACUUGGCAUAGCUCCACGGACACCCCUCCCACUCUUCCCCAGUCAGCCUGGGUGUUCUGUGGGGACACGGUGCCUGGGAUUUAUUUUCUUCCUCUUUUUCCUCUCCAAUCUCUUGUUUGCUCCUAAACCUAAAGUAGUGCUUGUUAUGGAGAUGGUAUUUAGUAAACGUUUGCUUAGAUGAAAUAAAUGUGUUCCUUCAGGGUCUA
Molecule: long non-coding RNA, 482 nt
Organism: Felis catus (domestic cat)
Lineage: Eukaryota; Metazoa; Chordata; Mammalia; Carnivora; Felidae
Exons: 2
Source: RefSeq, a predicted model, not a curated record